Molecule: ribosomal RNA, 460 nt
Filed under: uncultured bacterium
Lineage: Bacteria
Description: partial 16S ribosomal RNA
Rfam family: Bacterial small subunit ribosomal RNA
Source: RNAcentral
CCUACGGGUGGCAGCAGUGAGGAAUAUUGGUCAAUGGACGAGAGUCUGAACCAGCCAAGUAGCGUGAAGGAUGACUGCCCUAUGGGUUGUAAACUUCUUUUAUAAAGGAAUAAAACGAGGCACGUGUGCCUUGUUGCAUGUACUCUAUGAAUAAGGAUCGGCUAACUCCGUGCCAGCAGCCGCGGUAAUACGGAGGAUCCGAGCGUUAUCCAGAUUUAUUGGGUUUAAAGGGAGCGUCGUUGGGUUGUUAAGUCAGUUGUGAAAGUUUGCGGCUCAACCGUAAAAUUGCAAUUGAUACUGGCAGUCUGGCGUACAGUUGAGGUAGGCGGAAUUCGUGGUGUAGCGGUGAAAUGCUUAGAUAUCACGAAGAACCCCGAUUGCGCAGGCAGCUUACUAAACUGUGACUGACAUUGAUGCUCGAAAGUGUGGGUAUCAAACAGGAUUAGAUACCCGGGUAGUC